UUAGUUCAGUGGUAGAACAUCUGCUUUGCAUGCAGAAGGUCCCAGGAUCCCAGUAUCUCCAGGUAA
Molecule: non-coding RNA, 66 nt
Organism: Podarcis lilfordi (Lilford's wall lizard)
Lineage: Eukaryota; Metazoa; Chordata; Lepidosauria; Squamata; Lacertidae
Source: the annotation of a GenBank genome assembly